GCUAACGCUAACAGCAAUGUCCUAAAACCCCAGAGAGCUAGGGCUUUUUUCCUUAACGGGUUCUCCGGUUCCCGCACCUACUUCUCGUCCUCUCCUCCCUCGUCUCUCCAUCUUUUCGCCUCUCCUAUUCGCCGUGUUGCCGCCCAACGCCCCACCCUUUCUCCCUCGUGUUCGACCCCCGCGGGGCCCGAAAGGAGGCGCGAUCCCUUGGAAUAAGAGGAGUCAUAUAAACAAGACCAAAUAGUUUUCAUGGCCGUUGGCGCUGCAUCUGAUUCAGAAUCACCAGCUAUCAGAGCCCUGGGACCUCUCUUCAAGCUCACCGAAGUCCAUAUCUGGGAUGACAAUAAGUUUAACAAUUUUGAGGCAUCGAGCCACCAUGAUGCGUUGGUAGAAGAACCUGCUGGUUCUUGUACCACUAUUAAUACCCACUCAAGCAUCAUAAAAAUGACAGAUGAUUAUUGUUCAGUGGAAGAUUUAGAAUUAGCUCUUCAGAUGGAAGCUCUGGGGCUUCCUGUUUCCUUUAGCACAACUAAGGAGAUGAGGAAUAUGAGUUCAAGUGGGAAAGGAAAGGGAAUGCGGGCAAAAUCUAGGUCUACUGAUAAGCAAAUAGAGAACAGAGUUCCUGAUGUUACCAAAGUUGGUGAAUGGGAGUAUGUGUCAUCAAAAGUUAUCCAUGAUAGUUCAAGCAUGCCUGUUUUUUGCAAUACCACAGAAGGCCAAUGUGAAGCCUCUAAUAAUGAUGUUGAAGAUGAGCAUAACAGAAAGAAUGUCUGCUCUGGAGGAGAAGAUAUAAGUGUAGCUUCUGCAGUCCAUUAUGGAAUUGAUAAAAAUCGAGUUUGUGGUGAAAUGACUAACAAUGUGGACGGAGAAACUAAACUCAUUGACAGUGAUUCAGAGAAGACUGCUGAAAUUCUGGAGCACCCAAAAUGUUUAUAUGCUGAAAAUUUUCCUGCAAAUGUUUUAGAAGAUGCUAACUCUGGACAUUAUCAGGAGGGAGAUUUGUCUAACAAACAGGAUGAGGAAAAAUACUCUGAAAUUUCAUCUGGAUCAUGUAAUAUUUUUAGUGCAGAUGGUGAUGCUGUUGACAUCAAAACUUUUCAACCCUGUGUGAGCUCAGCAGAGACAUCUCUAUCCUGUGCUUUGAGUGAUCAAAGUGAUCAUGGUGUUCAAGACUAUUCUGAUACUAGAUUAUGUUAUGAAUAUGGUGAUUGGAGGGUAAAUUGGGAUUCCUUCUAUAUGAGGAAUUACUUCUACAAUGUCCAAACACAGGAGUCCACAUGGUAUCCUCCUGAUGGAUUGGAGAAAUUUGCAUUUCCUUGCCCUACAUUUAAUCUAAAUGAAAGGUUCACUGAUGCAGCUGAAGAGUUUGCCAGUGUUAGGAUUGUUUGUGAUGCCCCUCAAGAUCUGGUUUCCAAUGGAAUACAAGGCACGACCAAUUCCCUACAAGGAAAUGAUGCUGAAUUUAUUGAUCAGUCAUCACUAGAAAUCUCUAUGAACAGUUAUCAUGCUACUGGCUUUACUUGGUCUGAAGCUGAUCGACAUGGUGCAAAUUGUGGAUAUGAAAAUCUAGAUACACAUGCCUAUAGCAAGAGGGAUCCUGACAGUGUAGGUCUGCUCCAUUUAUCAGACGUGAAAGAUCAUACAACAGAUAAAUGGGAUGCCAGCAAACACUGGGACAAACAAGACAAGAAUGCCACUUGCCAUGAAUGGUUAAAUGUGCCCAGGUCAUUUGGUGCUCCAAUAAACAAUAGUUUAAGCGCUACACAUAAUAAUAAAGUUGAUAUGGAUGAAAAUGGAGAAAGUCAGACUUCAGAGCUGGACGGUCAUCAUGAGAUUACCACUACUGGGAAGAAAAAGAGAGUAAAAAGACUCCGAUCACGUAAGAGAACAUUAUCUAAGUUCGCAUUGCAAGCAGUAAAGGGAGGCCUCUUUAAAUAUUGGCUGCAGAGGUACUUACUUUUUUCCCGAUUUGAUGAUGGUAUCAAGAUGGAUGAAGAAGGAUGGUUUUCUGUCACACCAGAGUCCAUUGCAAGACAUCAUGCAUCUCGUUGUGGUAAUGGCAUUGUCAUCGAUUGUUUCACUGGGGUUGGUGGAAAUGCUAUCCAGUUUGCCAUGAAGUAUGAGCAGCCAUGUUAUUGCUAUUGACAUCAAUCCACAAAAAAUUGAAUAUGCACAACAUAAUGCAUCUAUUUAUGGAGUUAAUGAUCGGAUAGACUUUGUUGUUGGCGAUUUUUUCCAGAUGGCCUGCCAAUUGAAGGGAGACACUCUGUUUUUGUCACCUCCUUGGGGAGGACCGGACUAUGCUAAAUUUGUAACCUAUGAUAUCAGAUCCAUGCUUAAGCCUCAUGAUGGCUACCAUCUCUUCAAAAUUGCCAAGACGGUUGCUUCCAAAGUAGUAAUGUUCCUACCUCGGAAUGUUGACCUAAAUCAAUUGGCAGAGUUGACUUUAUCAUUAAAUCCUCCAUGGGAACUUGAGGUUGAGAAGAACUUUUUAAAUGGAAAGUUCAAGGCAAUUACUGCUUAUUUCAAGUGCACAGCAACUUGAGCGGACACAUUUGGCAAUCACUGCAGUUACCAUUAGUUCUGUUUAUCCAUGGAGGAGCAUGCAUGAGAGGCAACAUUGAAAUGGUUCAUACGGUACAGCAAUCUGUGUGAUGUAAAUAAAUUCUUGUAUAUAUAUGUUAAAAAAAUACGUAAUGUUAUCAAAAUAACUUACGUACUUAAGCUAUGCGAUUUUUUUUAAUAUUUUUUAUGCAUCUAUCAAGAAUGGUGAAAUGACGUUUUCAGAGAGGAAGAAAUUCUUAUUUAUAAAGUAAUAGCUUUACGUGUUUGCUUUCUA
This is an RNA transcript of Phoenix dactylifera (date palm), 2839 nucleotides long. RefSeq lists it as uncharacterized. Lineage: Eukaryota; Viridiplantae; Streptophyta; Magnoliopsida; Arecales; Arecaceae. The record is from RefSeq and is a predicted model, not a curated record.